RNAcentral lists this transfer RNA (69 nucleotides) under Pseudopotamorites peniculus. RNAcentral describes it as "tRNA-Gln". The record is from RNAcentral. Lineage: Eukaryota; Metazoa; Arthropoda; Insecta; Trichoptera; Limnephilidae.
UAUAUUUAAAUGUAAGUAGCAUGUAAAUUUUUGAAGUUUAAAGGUAUAGUUAAAUUCUAUAAAAUAUAA